Regulatory RNA element from Pseudonocardia sp. HH130629-09, 129 nucleotides. It matches the Rfam family "ALIL pseudoknot". The record is from Rfam. Lineage: Bacteria; Bacillati; Actinomycetota; Actinomycetes; Pseudonocardiales; Pseudonocardiaceae.
GGCUUUCUUCGCGGCGGAGCUCGACCGCCCCAGCAGGUAGUCCUCGACUAUAUCGAGGAGAACAAGACACAGUUCGGGGUCGAGCCGAUCUGCGCGGUGUUGAAGGACGCCGGUGUUCCGAUCGCCCCG